RNAcentral lists this microRNA precursor (135 nucleotides) under Hordeum vulgare. RNAcentral's name for it is "microRNA MIR1122". It matches the Rfam family "MIR1120/MIR1122 microRNA precursor family". Lineage: Eukaryota; Viridiplantae; Streptophyta; Magnoliopsida; Poales; Poaceae. The record is from RNAcentral.
AUUAUACUCUCUUCGUUUCAAAAUUCUUGUCUUAGCUUUGUCUAGAAUUGGAUGUAUCUAAAUACUAAAUUUGACUAGAUACAUUCAUAUCUAAACAAAUAUAAGACAAGAAUUUUGGAACGGAGGAAGUAUUUA